RNAcentral lists this non-coding RNA (27 nucleotides) under Rattus norvegicus (Norway rat). The record is from RNAcentral. Lineage: Eukaryota; Metazoa; Chordata; Mammalia; Rodentia; Muridae.
UUGAUGUCAUAUGCAAUAAAUUGCCAA